CCAGACUCCUACGGGAGGCAGCAGUGGGGAAUAUUGCACAAUGGGGGAAACCCUGAUGCAGCAACGCCGCGUGAGUGAAGAAGUAUUUCGGUAUGUAAAGCUCUAUCAGCAGGGAAGAAGAGAGACGGUACCUGACUAAGAAGCCCCGGCUAACUACGUGCCAGCAGCCGCGGUAAUACGUAGGGGGCGAGCGUUAUCCGGAUUUACUGGGUGUAAAGGGAGCGUAGACGGUUUUUCAAGUCUGAAGUGAAGGCCCGCGGCUCAACCGCGGAACGGCUUUGGAAACUGAGUAACUGGAGUGCUGGAGGGGCAGGCGGAAUUCCUGGUGUAGCGGUGAAAUGCGUAGAUAUCAGGAGGAACACCGGUGGCGAAGGCGGCUUACUGGACAGUAACUGACGUUGAGGCUCGAAAGCGUGGGGAGCAAACAGGAUUAGAUACCCGCGUA
This 445-nucleotide ribosomal RNA is filed under the name uncultured bacterium. RNAcentral describes it as "bacterial SSU rRNA". It matches the Rfam family "Bacterial small subunit ribosomal RNA", at positions 331 to 792 of the family's 1533-position model. The record is from RNAcentral.